UACGAAGGGGGCUAGCGUUGUUCGGAAUUACUGGGCGUAAAGGGCGCGCAGGCGGCUCUUCAAGUCAGAUGUGAAAGCCCCGGGCUCAACCUGGGAACUGCAUUUGAGACUGGAGAGCUCGAGUUCGGGAGAGGAGAGCGGAAUUCCCAGUGUAGAGGUGAAAUGCGCAGAUAUCAGGAAGAACACCCGUGGCUAAGGCGGCUCUCUAGUACGGUACUGACGCUGAGACGCGAAAGCGUGGGGAGCGAACAGG
This 253-nucleotide ribosomal RNA is filed under the name uncultured bacterium. RNAcentral's name for it is "partial 16S ribosomal RNA". It matches the Rfam family "Bacterial small subunit ribosomal RNA", at positions 524 to 776 of the family's 1533-position model. The record is from RNAcentral.